Molecule: transfer RNA, 535 nt
Filed under: uncultured cyanobacterium
Lineage: Bacteria; Bacillati; Cyanobacteriota
Description: partial 16S-23S intergenic spacer
Rfam family: tRNA (bases 207-279)
Source: RNAcentral
AGACAACGAAAUGUUUAAUAUUAUUAUUUUGUCACCUUAGGUCGAUCGGUAUCUCACGUUCUUAAUUUAUUAAGAAUUUCAUUUCCUAAGUUUUUCUAGGUCACACCCAUUAUUUUUCCUGGGCCAUUAGCUCAGGUGGUUAGAGCGCACCCCUGAUAAGGGUGAGGUCCCUGGUUCAAGUCCAGGAUGGCCCAUAUCUCUAUGUUGGGGGUAUAGCUCAGUUGGUAGAGCGCCUGCUUUGCAAGCAGGAUGUCAGCGGUUCGAGUCCGCUUACCUCCACUGAUUACCACCUCUUCCAUAACCGGUAGAAAGGAAAUUUUUUGAGUUGUGAUCAAAUUCUGAAAGAAUCUAGCUUCCUAAUGAAAUCAUUAAGAUGCUGGACUCAUUGAAUUAAUUUCAUUGUUUUCAGAGAACCUUGACAACUGCAUAGAUUAUUUUAAAGACAAUAAGCAUCUCUAAUGAUGCAGAUUUAUUAUUUGUGCGAAUGCAUUAAUAACAAUUCUAUUAAGCUGAUGCUUCAAUUUUUGAAGUUAUU